CCCGCUGAACUUAAGCAUAUUAAUAAGCGGAGGAAAAGAAACUAACAAGGAUUCCCCUAGUAACGGCGAGUGAAGCGGGAAGAGCUCAACUUGAAAAUCGGCGUGCCAAGCGGCACGUCGAGUUGUAGUCUAGAGAUGCAUCGCCAGUGAGUGACCUUGGUAUAAAUCUUUUGGAACAAGGUAUCGUAGAGGGUGAGAAUCCCGUCUUUGACCGGGAGUUCGCCACGUACGGCAUGCAUUCAAAGAGUCGUGUUGUUUGGGAAUGCAACACUAAAUGGGUGGUAAAUUUCAUCUAAAGCUAAAUAUUAACGAGAGACCGAUAGCGAACAAGUACCGUGAGGGAAAGGUGAAAAGAACUUUGAAAAGAGAGUUAAAAAGUACUUGAAAUUGUUAAGAGGGAAGCGAAGGCAACCAGUCGUGCGGGGUGCGAAUUAGCUAUGGAUUCCGGUUGGUGAGACUUGGGUUGGUUCCGUUAGGUCUGACCCUGUUUCGCGUUCAGGCGUCUGUGGUAUUAGUCGUGCUUUGCGGAUCAGCAUCAGUUUGGGCGGUAGGAGAAUACCAGGAGGAAGAUAGGGGAGACUCUUUCGGGGGUAGCCCUGUUAUAGACUCUUGGCUAUACUAUGGCUUAGACUGAGGUCGAGCGAAUUUCCUCUGGUACCCCGUGACGUUAUUCUGGCGGACAGCAAAGCUGUGUGUUAGGAGACUCGUUGCGCUGGUGCCAGGUCAGGUCGAUUCGUGUUCGUGAUGCUGAUGAAAUGGUUUUCUUUGACCCGUCUUGAAACACGG
Molecule: ribosomal RNA, 786 nt
Filed under: uncultured fungus
Lineage: Eukaryota; Fungi
Description: eukaryotic LSU rRNA
Rfam family: Eukaryotic large subunit ribosomal RNA
Source: RNAcentral